This 403-nucleotide ribosomal RNA is filed under the name uncultured bacterium. Its description in RNAcentral is "bacterial SSU rRNA". It matches the Rfam family "Bacterial small subunit ribosomal RNA", at positions 29 to 430 of the family's 1533-position model. The record is from RNAcentral.
AUUGAACGCUGGCGGAAUGCUUUACACAUGCAAGUCGAGCGGCAGCGCGGGGGCAACCCUGGCGGCGAGCGGCGAACGGGUGAGUAACAUAUCGGAACGUACCCAGUCGUGGGGGAUAACUAUCCGAAAGGAUAGCUAAUACCGCAUACGACCUGAGGGUGAAAGGGGGGGGAUCGCAAGACCUCUCGCGAUUGGAGCGGCCGAUAUCGGAUUAGCUAGUUGGUGAGGUAAAGGCUCACCAAGGCGACGAUCCGUAGCUGGUCUGAGAGGACGACCAGCCACACUGGAACUGAGACACGGUCCAGACUCCUACGGGAGGCAGCAGUGGGGAAUUUUGGACAAAGGGGGGCAACCCUGAUCCAGCCAUUCCGCGUGAGUGAAGAAGGCCUUCGGGUUGGUUAAA